This 253-nucleotide ribosomal RNA is filed under the name uncultured bacterium. RNAcentral's name for it is "partial 16S ribosomal RNA". It matches the Rfam family "Bacterial small subunit ribosomal RNA", at positions 524 to 776 of the family's 1533-position model. The record is from RNAcentral.
UACAGAGACUGCAAGCGUUAUUCGGAUUCAUUGGGCGUAAAGGGUGCGUAGGUGGCGCCGUAAGUCGGGUGUGAAAUUUCGGAGCUUAACUCCGAAACUGCAUUCGAUACUGCGGUGCUUGAGGACUGGAGAGGAGACUGGAAUUCAUGGUGUAGCAGUGAAAUGCGUAGAGAUCAUGAGGAAGACCAGUGGCGAAGGCGGGUCUCUGGACAGUUCCUGACACUGAGGCACGAAGGCCAGGGGAGCAAACGGG